This 449-nucleotide ribosomal RNA is filed under the name Justicia adhatoda. Its description in RNAcentral is "partial 5.8S ribosomal RNA". The record is from RNAcentral. Lineage: Eukaryota; Viridiplantae; Streptophyta; Magnoliopsida; Lamiales; Acanthaceae.
UAACGAGGGGGGGGGGGGUGGGGGUUUGGCAGCUGCCUUUGAUUUGGACGUGGACGUCCCGGCAGNAGAUCGUGUUUUGGGUGAGACUGAUCACGUCCAUGUGUCAUCGUCGCCUCAGGGGACUCAGCAGUGGCUCCAAACUGGAAUUCACGGGGGCCAACACCUGGUUAUUUCGUGCGGGUGUCCUCUCAUGGUCUCGGUUUUUCUUAAUAAACGGUUCCCCUUCGGAUUCUAACUGUUUUCCUUACUACNCCCCUUAUGCGGAAAAACUCUCGCCAAAAUUCCCUCAGAACCCUGGAUCUUAUCCUUAGUGCAGCUUUUGAAACUCCCUCACUCUUAAAGCAACUUCACCAGGCAUAUACCUGAAUUUUGGGGNUUUACGCUUUGAGGUUUGUCUUAUUUGUACUCGUCGGCGGCCACGAACCGUCGUCUAGGGUCCUGCUCGGACU